RNAcentral lists this long non-coding RNA (935 nucleotides) under Sorghum bicolor (sorghum). Its description in RNAcentral is "long non-coding RNA (SBIC_LNC003956)". The record is from RNAcentral. Lineage: Eukaryota; Viridiplantae; Streptophyta; Magnoliopsida; Poales; Poaceae.
AGGUACUAUUCUUAUGUCAUAUGAUUUGUCCGUGGACUUCAAAGCCUUGCCCUCACUAACAUGACAGCAUAGUUCAGGACAGCAAGUGCACUGUAUUGAAUUGUAAAUUGGAAUAUUGUAGGUUUAUUAGUUUGUUUAGGGGAGAUUGUGAUCUGUCGCACGUUACAUGCAUUAUGCCAUUAUGUGUUUUCCUUCUAGCACUAUGCAAACCUAUGGUGAUCUUGAAAUCAAAUUGGCCCUCUAUACUCAUUUCUUUUAUGCUGAUAUAUGUAUUCCUAAGAAAACCAAUUUGGGUGAAUAUAUACAUGGAGUUUCCAUCCGCCCAUGUAUUUUGUAACACUAUUGGUUCAUAUAUAUUUGUUGUGUUUUUUGUUGGGCUCCAGUGAAAGCGACAUGUUGAGAAACUCGCAUUACCAGCAUGUAAGGUUGGGGUCCAAAUCACUUGCAAAUGAGAUAUUAGAGCUGGAUCAGGUAUGUCAUUCAGCCACUUACCGCUUUUCUUUUCCGUCCAGAUUGGUCAUGGCUAAUUGAUGUGGAUUGUGUUUCUGAAUUUCUACUUCCUAAUUGGUGUUCAGCUGCCACAGACAAGGUAAAGUGCACGCUUGGUGAAUUGUUUCCCGUUGCAACGCAUGGGCAUUUACCUAUUAGAACUCAUUUUCGAAUGUAGCUAUUUGGAAAAAGUAUUUGUACCUUAUUAUAACUUAUUUCUUAAUAUUUUUCUUUACUUAUUAUUUUUAUUGUUAUGUAGUAUCAUAUUUUUGGUCGGAUUCGGAUUCGAAUACGGAUAAUGUCAACAAUACCGGAUAAGAUACGAUUGGAUGUCGACAUCAUAAAUAUACGAUUUAAAUAUUCGGAUACGGAUACGGUAUCGGAUAUUAAACAUUCGGACUCGGAUACGGACAGAUCUCAACCCCUCUAAACGAAUUCGGUCUCGA